GAUCUUGGGAUGGGGCGAGCGGUCCGCCUCUUUUGGUGUGCACUGGUCUCUCCAUCCUUUUGGUCGGGGACGCGCUCCUGGUCUUAACUGGCUGGGACGCGGAGUCGACGAUGUUACUUUGAAAAAAUUAGAGUGCUCAAAGCAAGCCUAUGCUCUGAAUACAUUAGCAUGGAAUAACGUGAUAGGACUCUGGUCCUAUUGUGUUGGUCUUCGGGACCGGAGUAAUGAUUAAUAGGGACAGUCGGGGGCAUUCGUACUCAACAGUCAGAGGUGAAAUUCUUGGAUUUGUUGGAGACGAACUACUGCGAAAGCAUUUGCCAAGGAUGUUUUCAUUGAUCAAGAACGAAAGUUAGGGGAUCGAAGACGAUCAGAUACCGUCCUAGUCUUAACCAUAAACUAUGCCAUCUAGGAAUUGGGGGUUUGUUUUAUGACACCCCCAGCACCUCGUGAGAAAUCAAAGUCUUUGGGUUCCGGGGGGAGUAUGGUCGCAAGGCUGAAACUUAAAGG
This 507-nucleotide ribosomal RNA is filed under the name uncultured eukaryote. Its description in RNAcentral is "bacterial SSU rRNA". It matches the Rfam family "Eukaryotic small subunit ribosomal RNA", at positions 637 to 1150 of the family's 1831-position model. The record is from RNAcentral.